RNAcentral lists this ribosomal RNA (877 nucleotides) under uncultured eukaryote. Its description in RNAcentral is "SSU rRNA". It matches the Rfam family "Eukaryotic small subunit ribosomal RNA", at positions 636 to 1469 of the family's 1831-position model. The record is from RNAcentral.
CGGUGUUCAACUGGCGUGUCCGCGGGACGUCCUGCCGGUGGGCUUAGCCCGCAAGGGCGGCCCAACUUCAAAUCCCAUCGCGGUGCUCUUCACUGAGUGUCGAGGUGGGCCGGCACGUUUACUUUGAACAAAUUAGAGUGCUUAAAGCAGGCUAAAACUUCGCCUGAAUACUGUGUGCAUGGAAUAAUGGAAUAGGACCUCGGUUCUAUUUUGUUGGUUUUCGGAACCCCGAGGUAAUGAUUAAUAGGAACGGAUGGGGGCAUUCGUAUUGCGACGUUAGAGGUGAAAUUCUUGGAUCGUCGCAAGACGGACAGAAGCGAAAGCAUUUGCCAAAAACGCUUUCAUUGAUCAAGAACGAAAGUUAGAGGUUCGAAGGCGAUCAGAUACCGCCCUAGUUCUAACCAUAAACGAUGCCAGCUAGCGAUCCGUCGACGUUCCUCCGAUGACUCGACGGGCAGCUUCCGGGAAACCAAAGCUUUUGGGUUCCGGGGGAAGUAUGGUUGCAAAGCUGAAACUUAAAGGAAUUGACGGAAGGGCACCACCAGGAGUGGAGCCUGCGGCUUAAUUUGACUCAACACGGGAAACCUCACCAGGCCCGGACACCGGAAGGAUUGACAGAUUGAGAGCUCUUUCUUGAUUCGGUGGGUGGUGGUGCAUGGCCGUUCUUAGUUGGUGGAGCGAUUUGUCUGGUUAAUUCCGAUAACGAACGAGACUCUAGCCUGCUAACUAGGCGUAUUUUCGACAUCUCAAAGGUCCGUCGUCCCGGCCCUCGGGUCGUGGGCGUGCGCGAUUUUUACUGUCGGCGUACUAUCAAUUCUUCUUAGAGGGACAGGUGGCUUCUAGCCGCACGACAUUGAGCAAUAACAGGUCUGUGAUG